This 2507-nucleotide ribosomal RNA is filed under the name Schmidtea mediterranea. RNAcentral describes it as "eukaryotic LSU rRNA". The stretch from base 1624 to 2507 matches the Rfam family "Eukaryotic large subunit ribosomal RNA", at positions 1891 to 2886 of the family's 3401-position model. The record is from RNAcentral. Lineage: Eukaryota; Metazoa; Platyhelminthes; Tricladida; Dugesiidae.
GCCCUUAGAUGUGUGGGGCCGCACGCGCGCUACAAUGGCAGUAGUAACAAGUUUUCCUAAUUAGAAAUAGUCGGGUAAUCUCUUGAAACACUGUGGUAUCGGGGAUUGUGAAUUGAAAUUAUUUCACAUGAACGAGGAAUUCUUAGUAAGCGCAAGUCACUAGCUUGCGCUGAUUACGUCCCUGCCCUUUGUACACACCGCCCGUCGCUACUACCGAUUGAAUGGUUUAGUGAGAUUGUUGGAUUCUGAUCUAAGAAAUGGCAACAUUUCUAUGAAUGGGAAAAGACACUCAAACUUGAUCAUUUAGAGGAAGUAAAAGUCGUAACAAGGUUUCCGUAGGUGAACCUGCGGAAGGAUCAUUAUUAGUUCUCAAUGUAUUCACGAUCGAUUAUAUAUGUCAUGAUAUGAUGUAUUAAUAAUAUAAUAGUUUACUAUUAUUAAAACUCAAUCUAGUUAUUAGUAUUUGAUUCAGAUAUAACUAAUUGUUUCACACAUUGUCUUGUGGGUGCCUAUGAUUUACGAAUAGCAAUAUUUGUAUUUCCCGUACAACGCGUGCACUUGUGUACGUGCCGGAUAGUUCGCUAUCUGUGAUUGAUCUUUAAUUAGUCAAAGCGAGAUCAAUAUUGUGCUAGGUUUAAAUAUUCAAGUACUUUUAUAUUCAUAUACGCUUCAGUCUCAAUUACGAAAGCUUUGUUUGUAAUUGUGUAAAUGCACUGUUGUUGGCUAAAAUAUGUUUAUAGAGUGGAACGAAAGCCCUUAGAUAAAAACGUUAUUAUUUACUUUACAUAUUACUCACUAGUAAUAUUGAUCCUCGAUUUAACAAUUGAGUCGAUCUAAAUUAUAUAUGGAUCGCUAUUACGGCAUCUGUAUCUGUAUCUUUUUUUUUUUUUUAUAAUUUUCAUAAAUUUAUAAAUUUAUAAAUUUAUAAAUUUAUAAAUUUAUAAAUUUAUAAAUUUAUAAUUUUCAUUUUGAAAGUUAUUUUUAAAUUUUAAAAUAAUUUCACUGUUAAUUAGUUCAGAAUAAUUAUCAAUUAGUUUUUUAAGAGCACUUUCAGUAAUAUUUUCAGGGAUUAUUGAGGUUUCUGUAUGAGGAGUAUUAUAUGUAUUAUCCAUCAGUAGAGAUUUCUUCUGCAUAUAUUUUAUUGGAAGAUAAUUGUUCUCGAUUGUUUUCUGAUCAUCUGUUUUUAAUGACAGUUUGGAGCUGAUAAUUUCAAAGAGAUCAUUUGUUAAUUUCUUCAAAUUUCCAAGAUAUUUUUCUUUUUUCUUUACAAUAUUAUUUUUUAAAGAUUUUUUCGGUUUAAAUUCAUCGUUUGUUUUUAGAAUAAUUUCACUUUUUUCCAUUUUUAAAUCUGAAUUAUUUUUAAAAAUAUAUUCAUUUUUGACUGUGUUUUUUGAUUUAAUAUCUCCAUUUAUUUUUAAAUCCAUUUCAUUUUUCCCAUUAGUUAUUAUUGAUUUUUUGAAAUUUUCAAUAAAAAUACUUUUUUCUUUAGGAUUUUCUUCAUGUUUUGAAUUUUUAAAAUUCAUGGAGUAGAGUUUACUAUUCUUCACUUUUAGUAAGAAUAUUUUAAAUAUCAAAUUGUUUGGUUCUAGAGUUUCCAACUUUUUAUAAUAUUUUUCAUAUUUGUAGAAACAGUUUCUCAAGGUUGUGAAAUUAUCAUUGUUACGCAAGUGUUCUUCGAUUUUAAAUUUCUUUAUCCAGUUUUCAUUCUUUGUUUUAGUGUUCGUUUCCAGGUUGUCUUCAGAGAUUGAGUCGGAUCCAGAUUCAGAAUUAGAAGAAUUCUUAGAUUCAAAACUGUUAGCUGGCAAUUUCUGCCCGGUGCUAUCGAAUGUCAAUGUGAAGAAAUUCAACUAAGCUCUGGUUAACGGCGGGAGUAACUAUGACUCUCUUAAGGUAGCCAAAUGCCUCGUCAUCUAAUUAGUGACGUGCAUGAAUGGAUUAACGAGAUUCCUACUGUCCCUAUCUACUAUCUAGCGAAACUACAGCCAAGGGAACGGGCUUGGAAAAUAUAGCGGGGAAAGAAGACCCUGUUGAGCUUGACUCUAGUCCGACUUUGUAGGAGAACUUUAGAGGUGUAGCAUAAGUGGGAGACUUCGGUCGACAGUGAAAUACCACUACUCUGAUUGUUUUUCUACUUACUCAAUGAAGCAGUAUAAUUAACUUUUGUUAAUUUUUUUUAGUGAAAAAAUUGCGAUCUUCGGAUGCAAUUGAACUGUUUUGAGGACAGUGUCAGGUGGGGAGUUUGACUGGGGCGGUACAUCUGUCAAAUGGUAACGCAGAUGUCCCAAGGGAAGCUCAACUAGGACAGAAACCUGGUGUUGACUAAAAGGGGAAAAGCUUCCUUGAUCUUGAUUUUCAGUACGAAUACAGACCGUGAAAGCGCGGCCUAUCGAUCCUUUUGAUUUUUACAGAGUUUGUAGCAAGAGGUGUCAGAAAAGUUACCACAGGGAUAACUGGCUUGUGGCGGCCAAGCGUUCAUAGCGACGUCGCUUUUUGAUCCUUCGAUGUCG